Molecule: long non-coding RNA, 100 nt
Organism: Phyllostomus discolor (pale spear-nosed bat)
Lineage: Eukaryota; Metazoa; Chordata; Mammalia; Chiroptera; Phyllostomidae
Exons: 3
Source: RefSeq, a predicted model, not a curated record
UCUGAGAAAAGAAAGGUGCUCUUUCCAUUUUACAGAUGAGGCAACUCAGGCUCAGAACGGUUGAGCUGCUUGUGCGGUCACAGAGUAAGUUGUAGAGGAA